GGGGAUGUAGCUCAGUUGGUAGAGUGCUUGCCUCAUAUGCACAAAGCCCUGGGUUUAAUCCCUAGCACCA
This 70-nucleotide transfer RNA is filed under the name Marmota marmota marmota (Alpine marmot). It matches the Rfam family "tRNA". Rfam says of the family: Transfer RNA (tRNA) molecules are approximately 80 nucleotides in length. Their secondary structure includes four short double-helical elements and three loops (D, anti-codon, and T loops). RNAcentral also lists the same sequence under 2 other names. The record is from Rfam by way of RNAcentral. Lineage: Eukaryota; Metazoa; Chordata; Mammalia; Rodentia; Sciuridae.